RNA transcript from Mus pahari (shrew mouse), 1289 nucleotides. It is a transcript of the gene named ribosome biogenesis protein WDR12-like, with no coding region annotated. The record is from RefSeq and is a predicted model, not a curated record. The transcript has 2 exons. NCBI's taxonomy places the organism in Eukaryota, Metazoa, Chordata, Mammalia, Rodentia, Muridae.
AUGGUAAAACUCCAGGCAUGUUUCUACAUCGAGAAUAAGAAAAACACAGUGGAUGAUGUUCCUUUCUCAAUCCCUGCCAGCUCUGAAGUUACCGAUCUUAGUAACAUUAUCAAUAAAUUGAUGGAGUCCAAAAAUGAACUCCAGAAACAUGUUGAGUUUGAUUUUCUUAUCAAGGGCCAGUUUCUUCUAAUGCCCUUGGUUAAACACAUGGAACUGGAGAACAUUUCAUUGGAAGAGGUUGCAGAACUAGAAUAUUUGGAAAAAUACACCAUUCCCCAGUCAGAGCAGUGCAUGUUCCAUGAUGACUGGAUCAGUUCAAUUAAAGGGGGAAGAAUGGAUCCUGCCUGUCUGAUUCUAGUGAUAAGACUUCUCGGAUCCUUUGAAGGAAAGUCAUUAAGAACAAUUGUGGGACAUACAGAUAUUGUGAAAGAUGUGGCUUAGGUCAAAAAAAGACAGUUUGUCCUGCUUACUACAGACUGUCUCGAUGGAGCAGACUAUUCUCUCAUGGGAGUGGAUAUAGAAAGGACCAAAGUGAAAGCUCUGUACUGCUGCCGAGGGCAUGCUGGGAGUGUGGAUGCCAUAGUAGUCGAUAGCUUGGGAACUAAGUUUUGCAGUGGCUCCUGGGAUUAGAUGCUAAAGAUCUGGUCUACAGUCCCUAGAGAUGAAGAAGAGGAAAUGGAAGAACCCAUAAAUCGACGACGAAAAAAACAAAAAAAAACAAAAAAACAGAACAAUUGGGACUAACAAGAACACCCUUUGUGACCCUCUCUGGCCACACAGAAGCAAUUUACUCAGUCCUUUGGAUCCUUUGAAUAUAUGCUGAGGAAAUCUGCAGUGCAUCUUGGAAUCACACAGUUAGAGUGUGGGAUGUUGAGUCUGGCGGUCUUAAGUCAACUCUGACAGGAAAUAAAGUGUUUAAUUCUAUUUCCUAUUCUCCCCUUUGUAAAUGUUUGGCAUCUGGAAGUACAGACAGCCAUAUUCAAGUAUGGGAUCUCCGAACUAAAGAUGGUUCUUUGGUGUCGCUGUCCCUCACCUCACAUCCAGGCUAGGUAACAUCAGUGAAGUGGUCUCGUACCCAUGAACAGCAGCUGAUCUCGGGCUCGUUAGAUAACAUUGUGAAGCUAUGGGAUACAAGAAGUUGUAAGGCUCCUCCCUAUGAUCUAGCUGCUCAUGAAGACAAAGCUCUAAGUGUGGACUCAACAGACACAGGGAUACUUCUGAGUGGAGGAACAAACAAUAAAUUGUAUUCCUACAGAUAUUUCCCUACCACUUCCCAAGCGGGGCCUUAA